CGCUCGACAUCAGAGUUUGAUCCUGGCUCAGGAUGAACGCUAGCGAUAGGCUUAACACAUGCAAGUCGAGGGGCAUCGAGUAGAUAGCUUGCUAGUUUAUGUUCGGCGACCGGCGCACGGGUGCGUAACACGUAUCCAACCUUCCGGUAACUCCGGUAUAGCCUUUCGAAAGAAAGAUUAAUCCCGGAUAGUAUGGUGAUUCCGCAUGGUUUCUCCAUUAAAGGAUUCCGGUUACCGAUGGGGAUGCGUUCCAUUAGGCAGUUGGCGGGGUAACGGCCCACCAAACCUACGAUGGAUAGGGGUUCUGAGAGGAAGGUCCCCCACAUUGGAACUGAGACACGGUCCAA
Molecule: ribosomal RNA, 347 nt
Filed under: uncultured bacterium
Lineage: Bacteria
Description: bacterial SSU rRNA
Rfam family: Bacterial small subunit ribosomal RNA
Source: RNAcentral